Anopheles arabiensis is the source of this 245-nucleotide long non-coding RNA. RefSeq lists it as uncharacterized. The record is from RefSeq and is a predicted model, not a curated record. Lineage: Eukaryota; Metazoa; Arthropoda; Insecta; Diptera; Culicidae. The transcript has 3 exons.
CAACAAUGCGCUGCAGGCGUGAAGCGACCAAAAUUGAUGCUGACAAAAAAAAAAUGGAAAAUUCGUGAUUGCGUCAACUCAAAGAGAAUAUACAGCCAGCUGCGAAACUUCGUCUACAAGCACCAUGAGUCAAAUAAUACACAAGAAAGAAAACAUACCUAAGAACAUAUCAUCAACUUUAUUGCAGCCAGAAUAUUUUCUACCAACAUUUCAAUCAACUGCUACUCAAACCAACUUUUUAAACA